Molecule: ribosomal RNA, 497 nt
Filed under: uncultured bacterium
Lineage: Bacteria
Description: partial 16S ribosomal RNA
Rfam family: Bacterial small subunit ribosomal RNA
Source: RNAcentral
GAUGAACGCUGGCGGCGUGCCUAAUACAUGCAAGUCGAGCGAACAGACGAGGAGCUUGCUCCUCUGACGUUAGCGGCGGACGGGUGAGUAACACGUGGAUAACCUACCUAUAAGACUGGGAUAACUUCGGGAAACCGGAGCUAAUACCGGAUAAUAUAUUGAACUGCAUGGUUCAAUAGUGAAAGACGGUUUUGCUGUCACUUAUAGAUGGAUCCGCGCCGCAUUAGCUAGUUGGUAAGGUAACGGCUUACCAAGGCAACGAUGCGUAGCCGACCUGAGAGGGUGAUCGGCCACACUGGAACUGAGACACGGUCCAGACUCCUACGGGAGGCAGCAGUAGGGAAUCUUCCGCAAUGGGCGAAAGCCUGACGGAGCAACGCCGCGUGAAUGAUGAAGGUCUUCGGAUCGUAAAACUCUGUUAUUAGGGAAGAACAAAUGUGUAAGUAACUAUGCACGUCUUGACGGUACCUAAUCAGAAAGCCACGGCUAACUACGUG